This 3154-nucleotide long non-coding RNA is filed under the name Canis lupus familiaris (dog). Lineage: Eukaryota; Metazoa; Chordata; Mammalia; Carnivora; Canidae. The record is from RNAcentral.
GGGAACAAAGUGGGCGAUCUCUGAGGUCCUUUUUUUUCUUCCAUUAAAAAAAGAAAAGACAUAAUUCGCAUACCAUAGGAUUCACCUUCCUUAAGCGUACCAUCCAAUGUUUCUUUGUGUAUUUGUGAGGUUGUGUAACUGUCACCAUCUUCGAAUUCCAGAACAUUUUGAUCCCUCCAAACCCAUUUGGACUCUCCCAUCUCCCAGCCUCUGGCAACCAGAAAUCUGCUCUCUGUUUCUAUGGAAUCACCUAUUUUAGACGUUUCAUGUAAAUGAAUCAUACAAUCUGUGGGUAUUUUGUAACUGGCUUCUUCCCUUGGUGUGAAGUUUCCGAGGACCAUCAUGAUGUAGCGUGCAAGGGCCAGAUAACAUUCCAUUGGGUGGAUGUGUCAUUUUGCUGACCCGUUCAUCAGCGGAUGGACUCGGAAGCACUUUCCACUCUGAGGUUUAUGGACGCAGGGUUCCCGUUCUGCAUCCGGCUGGGACACCAACAGGUGGGACUCCAGUUGGCCUCCAGCACCACACUUGCAGCUUCUUGGAUGACGUGGCUGUUGAUAGACGGCUGCCUCAACUGCACAUGCCAAAUGGAACUAAUUUCCCCUGACAGCCUCCCUCCUUCACGCUUCCCCACUUCUGCUAAUGGCAACACCAAUCUCUCAGGUCCAUGCAACAGUCUUCUUCUUCUUCUUUUUUUUAACCCCUCCUUCUUCUGCAUAGUAACUCACAUGCCAACCUGUGUAGACCCUACCUCGACUAUACCAUUUCCUCCCAUUGUCAUGACCGAUUUCAAGCCUCUUGGCUGUCAGUGUAGGUUUUCACCAGCUUCCCCAUUUGCUAACUGUCCCCUUUCUACUCAGUGUGAUUCAGUUGCUGGAUUUAUCCUUUUUAUGUGCAGCUGUGUCCAAACCUGUCCCGGGAUCAAACGGCUGAAAUGAAAUGCAAAUUUCUAACCCUUGGUCCAGCGUAAAUAGCUUGCAAUUUAGUAAAGGAAGAAAGGCAGAUAAGUGAUAGUCAUACCCUUGCCUUCGCUAUUUGAUUGCAAACAUCUUUAAGGGAAGAAACUAUUUCCACAGCAGGGUGAGAAAGACAAGGCUUUGGUGGAAGCCAGGCCCUCUCUUGAAGCCUACCUAUUCCAUCAGGGACACGAGAAUCACCCCAAGCUUCCAUCACCUCAUUUGUGAAUAAAAAAAAAAGGAGAAAAACUACUUACCUCUUGGGGUGCUUGUGAAGAUGAGACGUAAGGUACAUAAGGGGACAACACCUGACGUGUAGCUUGUACACAAUGAACUGUGGCCCCUGCUUUCGUCCUCCCCGAGAUGCUGCACACUGCUCUGCAGAGCGGGCACCCAAUACUCGGACUGCUAAAUGGAAAUGUGGGGAUUUGGUGGGAUACAGGGGGAAGCCCCAACUGCGGAAGGAGUCAGGGAAAGAGAACAGUAGCUGGCAGUUGCAGAGAAUGAAAAGAGGGAGCUUGGAAACACGAGCAAGACAUGGAUGGACAGGUACGUUCUGGGCUGGCCUGAAGGCAAAGGCUGAGGCAGGACUACCUGGGGGCAAGGUGCGGGGGGCAGGGAGGAGGCUAAGCCUCACUCGGGUGAAGGGCCAUGAUGGGUAGGAGAGGGAAAUCAAGUUGGCCAAAGAAAUCAUGAACAGCUCAGAAACUAAGUAGAGUUGGAUCUCCCCGUGGGAGUCCCCACAGAGCCAUUACGGUUCUUGGGCUGACAAGUGACGGGAGGAGCAGGAACCCACGCUCAUGCUGGUGUUUGCCCAAAACGACCCGGCCACGCUGGGGAUAGAGCAAGGAGCACACCAGAAAGACAUUUUGAGUGCUGGGGGGCUCAGUGGUUGAGCAUCUGCCUUCGGCACAGGGCGUGAUCCUGGAGACCCGGGAUCGAGUCCCACGUUGGGCUCCCUGCAUGGAACCUGCUGCUCCCUCUGCCUGUGUCUCUGCUUCUCUCUGUGUGUCUCUCAUGAAUAAAUAAAUAAAAUCUUAAAAAAGAAUACAUUUUGAAAGAAAAAAGCAUUACAGGCCUUCCCUAGUAACAAAAACGAUAAACGAUCCUGAACUUUUGCCUCUUUCCCCGAAGGCCAACAUUUUAUUUUUUCCCUCCAAACAUCUUCAAACACCUUGUUCCUCCAAUCCUUUCUUUUCUGAAACAAAGCUAGAAAUAAACUUGACCGAUUAGUCAGGAAACCCUAUCAGUCGUGGCUGUCCAGGUACUCCGACCCAAGAUAGAAAGAUUCCGGGUUAUCUUAAUCUGCCUACCUGUGCCCAGGCUUAAUUGCGAUGCGGCGCUUCCCUGAAGAGACAGGAAGAAGUUGAGCAUGUCAGGUAAUCAAUCAAAACUCACAUUUACAGCUCCAGAACCUUCCCCCACACUCCUAUUAGAGUACAGAUACCCCACAGGAGGCAAACAUUAGGCUCCGUAGGUACUGCAGCCAAAUAUCACUGGCUGCCCCCAUCAAAUUAGAAUGUGGCAAAGAGGCCACUUUCUAAAAGGAAAAAGAAAAAGGUCAAGAAAUUUUGAGGCCUUUUUAAAAAAGAUUUUAUUUAUUUAUUUGAUAGAGAGAGAGAGAGAGCACAAGCAGGGGGAGCAGGAGAGGGAGAAGCAGACUCCCCCCCCCCCGAGCAAGGAAGCCCACACGGGGCUCGACCCCAGCGCCCUGAAAUCAUGACCUGAGCCAAAGGCAGACACUUAACCGACUGAGCCACCCAGGCGCCCCAAAUUUGAAGCUUUUACUUUCAAUAGGUGGCAAGGCAUAGGGAGAGUUUUGUGCCUCUUUUCCUUCCACUGGAGCUGUUUAUAAAUAUUUGAUUGCAUGAAAGCCUCCAAGUUCUCUGGGACUCAUUCUUGCUGGCUGGGCCCGUUUUGCUGCUGCUGCACUUGCUGGCUAAAUAAUCAAUCCAGCUACCUCAGGUUCCGGGCACUCAACUUUUGUGAAUUUGCCAAAUUUCAGAAGCCUUUCAGAAGAGGCCAUCAAUCAGGACACGAGAGGGAAUGGAGGUAAGCUCUGUCAGUCUCAGGCUCGCUUUGAGCACAUAUACUAAAAUUGGAAUGAUCCAGAGAAGAUUAGCACGGCCCCUGCGCUAGGAUGACACACAAAUCUGAGAAGUGUUCUAUAUUAAAAAAAGAAAAAAAAAAAAAAAAAAAAG